GACGAACGCUGGCGGCGUGCUUAACACAUGCAAGUCGUACGGUAAGGCCCUUUCGGGGGUACACGAGUGGCGAACGGGUGAGUAACACGUGAGUAACCUGCCCACAACUUUGGGAUAACGCUAGGAAACUGGUGCUAAUACUGGAUAUGUGCUCCUGCUGCAUGGUGGGGGUUGGAAAGCUCCGGCGGUUGUGGAUGGACUCGCGGCCUAUCAGCUUGUUGGUGGGGUAGUGGCCUACCAAGGCGGCGACGGGUAGCCGGCCUGAGAGGGUGACCGGCCACAUUGGGACUGAGAUACGGCCCAGACUCCUACGGGAGGCAGCAGUGGGGAAUAUUGCACAAUGGGCGCAAGCCUGAAGCAGCAACGCCGCGUGCGGGAUGACGGCCUUCGGGUUGUAAACCGCUUUCAGCAGGGACGAAGCUUUUUGUGGCGGUACCUGCAGAAGAAGCACCGGCUAACUACGUG
Molecule: ribosomal RNA, 465 nt
Filed under: uncultured bacterium
Lineage: Bacteria
Description: partial 16S ribosomal RNA
Rfam family: Bacterial small subunit ribosomal RNA
Source: RNAcentral